UACGUAGGGGGCAAGCGUUGUCCGGAUUUAUUGGGCGUAAAGAGCGUGUAGGCGGCCGAGCAGGUCCGUUGUGAAAACUGGAGGCUUAACCUCCAGACGUCGAUGGAAACCGCACGGCUAGAGUCCGGAAGAGGAGAGUGGAAUUCCUGGUGUAGCGGUGAAAUGCGCAGAUAUCAGGAAGAACACCUAUGGCGAAGGCAGCUCUCUGGGACGGUACUGACGCUGAGACGCGAAAGCGUGGGGAGCGAACAGG
This 253-nucleotide ribosomal RNA is filed under the name uncultured prokaryote. Its description in RNAcentral is "partial 16S ribosomal RNA". It matches the Rfam family "Bacterial small subunit ribosomal RNA", at positions 524 to 776 of the family's 1533-position model. The record is from RNAcentral.